Molecule: ribosomal RNA, 244 nt
Filed under: uncultured bacterium
Lineage: Bacteria
Description: partial 16S ribosomal RNA
Rfam family: Bacterial small subunit ribosomal RNA
Source: RNAcentral
CGUAGGUGGCGAGCGUUGUCCGGAAUUAUUGGGCGUAAAGGGAGCGCAGGCGGGAGGUCAAGUCUAUCUUAAAAGUGCGGGGCUCAACCCCGUGAGGGGAUGGAAACUGGUCUUCUUGAGUGCAGGAGAGGAAAGCGGAAUUCCUAGUGUAGCGGUGAAAUGCGUAGAUAUUAGGAGGAACACCAGUGGCGAAGGCGCUUUCUGGACUGUAACUGACGCUGAGGCUCGAAAGCGUGGGGAGCGA